Long non-coding RNA from Mustela lutreola (European mink), 824 nucleotides. RefSeq lists it as uncharacterized. The record is from RefSeq and is a predicted model, not a curated record. The transcript is spliced from 3 exons. Lineage: Eukaryota; Metazoa; Chordata; Mammalia; Carnivora; Mustelidae.
CACAGAAAUAUCUGAUUUCAAAGAGAUGCUCGCAUUCUAUACUGAUCCCAUCUGGGAGUAUAAAUGCCCAAUGUCACGCUGCCGAGUGGAGAAAGGAGAAAGAUGGUUCCCUGCACUGUUCUAAUUCAGAGGAUGGAAGCAUGGUAAAGCAAGAAGACAUCCAUCUACAAUCCAGGAAGAGGACUAUCACCAGAACACCAUGCUGCUGGCACUCUGAUCUUGGACCUCCAGCCUCCAGAAUUUUCAGAAAUAAAUUUCUAUUGUUUAAGUCACCCAGUUUAUGUUAUUUGUUAUAGUUGUGCAAACUGAUUGAGACAACAGUGAUUGUCAUCUCUUACUAAAGUAGACUUCUUACUUGUUCCUUCUAAUAUCCAACUCCAAUAAUCCUCAGACAUCACUAGAACCUAUACUUAGUCCUACUAUCCUCAUUCUCACUACCCUCGUCCAUCUCCCUACCUCUAUACGUGUUCAUAGGUCUUAUUUUGCUUAUUUUCCCGAGUGACCAUUGUUACCAACACCUAGCGUAUAUCCUCACCACUCCUCAUGCAUCAAAUUCUUGAUUAAAUCACAACCCUGGUUCGAAUUCAUCACCCACCAAUUUUGCUCAUGCUCCCAUGCAGCUGAGCAUGGCUAGAGAAAACACACAACUCUAGAUUUCACCACCCUCAUUGUCCUUUCCUACCUUUCAUAGCAUUCACCAAGUUCUUUCCUGUUGGACACUUUUGUUUGUGCUGUUCCUUUGUCCUGGAGUCGCCUCCUUUCCUUUUCAUAUGAGUCACCGCUCCUCAUUCUGUAGCUCUCAGUUCAAGUAUCACUUCCUACAA